RNAcentral lists this ribosomal RNA (423 nucleotides) under uncultured bacterium. RNAcentral's name for it is "bacterial SSU rRNA". It matches the Rfam family "Bacterial small subunit ribosomal RNA", at positions 356 to 773 of the family's 1533-position model. The record is from RNAcentral.
AGGGAAUCUUCCGCAAUGGACGAAAGUCUGACGGAGCAACGCCGCGUGAGUGAUGAAGGUUUUCGGAUCGUAAAGCUCUGUUGCCAGGGAAGAACGUCCGUUAGAGUAACUGCUAACGGAGUGACGGUACCUGAGAAGAAAGCCCCGGCUAACUACGUGCCAGCAGCCGCGGUAAUACGUAGGGGGCGAGCGUUGUCCGGAAUUAUUGGGCGUAAAGCGCGCGCAGGCGGCUGUUAAGUCUGGUGGUUAAUCCUGGGGCUCAACCGCGGGUCGCACUGGAAACUGGACAGCUUGAGUGCAGAAGAGGAGAGUGGAAUUCCACGUGUAGCGGUGAAAUGCGUAGAGAUGGGGAGGAACACCAGUGGCGAAGGCGACUCUCUGGGCUGUAACUGACGCUGAGGCGCGAAAGCGUGGGGAGCAAAC